UAAUAAAUCAAUUCUGCUCAAUGAAUAUAUUUAAAUAGCUGCAGUUUUUGACUGUACAAAGGUAGCAUAAUCAAUUGUCUUUUUAUUAAAGUCUAGAAUGAAAGAAAUAAUGAAAUAAAAACUGUCGCAAAAUAAAUAAAUUUUAAAUUUUAUUGUAAGUAAAAAUUCUUACCUAAUUAUAAUAGACGAGAACACCCUAUAGAAUUUUAUUAUUAAAAUUAUUAUUUGUAUUUAUUAUUAAUAAAUUAAAUUAUUUUAAUAAUUAUAUUGGGAGGAUAAUAAAAUUUAAAUAAUUUUUAUAUUUUUAUCACUAAAAUAGAAUAUUCUAACCAAUAUUAUUGAAUUUAAAUAAAUUACCUUAGGGAUAACAGCGUUAAAUUUUUAAAGAGUUCAUAUUGAUAAAAAUUUUUGCGACCUCGAUGUUGAAUUAAAUUUAAUUGUUAUUGUAGAUAAUAACAACAUUUAAUCUGUUCGACUAUUAAAAUUUUACAUGAUUUGAGUUUAGAUCGGUGUGAGCCAGAUCGGUUUCUAUCUUUAUAUAAUAGUUAUAUUUUGUACGAAAGGACUUAAUAUAAAUAUUAAUUAUUUAUUAUUGAAUAAAAUUAUUUUAUA
Nasonia vitripennis (jewel wasp) is the source of this 612-nucleotide long non-coding RNA. RefSeq lists it as uncharacterized. The record is from RefSeq and is a predicted model, not a curated record. The transcript is spliced from 2 exons. Lineage: Eukaryota; Metazoa; Arthropoda; Insecta; Hymenoptera; Pteromalidae.